This 491-nucleotide ribosomal RNA is filed under the name uncultured bacterium. Its description in RNAcentral is "partial 16S ribosomal RNA". It matches the Rfam family "Bacterial small subunit ribosomal RNA", at positions 29 to 507 of the family's 1533-position model. The record is from RNAcentral.
AGUGAACGCUGGCGGUAGGCCUAACACAUGCAAGUCGAACGGCAGCACAGUAAGAGCUUGCUCUUACGGGUGGCGAGUGGCGGACGGGUGAGGAAUACAUCGGAAUCUACUUUUUCGUGGGGGAUAACGUAGGGAAACUUACGCUAAUACCGCAUACGACCUACGGGUGAAAGCAGGGGAUCUUCGGACCUUGCGCGAUUGAAUGAGCCGAUGUCGGAUUAGCUAGUUGGCGGGGUAAAGGCCCACCAAGGCGACGAUCCGUAGCUGGUCUGAGAGGAUGAUCAGCCACACUGGAGCUGAGACACGGUCCAGACUCCUACGGGAGGCAGCAGUGGGGAAUAUUGGACACUGGGCGCAAGCCUGAUCCAGCCAUACCGCGUGGGUGAAGAAGGCCUUCGGGUUGUAAAGCCCUUUGUUGGGAAAGAAAAGCAGCAGGUUAAUACCCCGCUGUUCUGACGGUACCCAAAGAAUAAGCACCGGCUAACUUCGUG